This 465-nucleotide ribosomal RNA is filed under the name uncultured bacterium. RNAcentral's name for it is "partial 16S ribosomal RNA". It matches the Rfam family "Bacterial small subunit ribosomal RNA", at positions 338 to 795 of the family's 1533-position model. The record is from RNAcentral.
CCUACGGGUGGCAGCAGUGGGGAAUAUUGCGCAAUGGGCGAAAGCCUGAAGCAGCGAAGCCGCGUGAGGGAUGAAGGUCUUCGGAUCGUAAACCUCUGUCAGCAGGGAAGAACGGUCACUGUGCUAAUCAGCAGUGAAUUGACGGUACCUGCAAAGGAAGCACCGGCUAACUCCGUGCCAGCAGCCGCGGGAAUACGGAGGGUGCGAGCGUUAAUCGGAAUUACUGGGCGUAAAGCGCGCGUAGGCGGUAUGUCAAGUCAAGGGUGAAAUCCCCGGGCUCAACCUGGGAACUGCCUUUGAAACUGGCAAACUGGAGUGUGUGUGAGGAUAGUGGAAUUCCAGGUGUAGGAGUGAAAUCCGUAGAUAUCUGGAGGAACCUCAGUGGCGAAGGCGACUAUCUGGCACAUAACUGACGCUGAGGAGCGAAAGCGUGGGUAGCAAACAGGAUUAGAUACCCGUGUAGUC